AGCUUUAUGUACUUAUACAAAGUUAAACCUGCCCAAUGUACAGAGGUAUUAAUGGCCGCGGUACUUUGACCGUGCUAAGGUAGCGCAAUCAAUUGGCUUUUAAUUGUAGUCAGGUAUGAAUGGAUUUACGGGGUUUAACUGUCUCUUUAUUAAUUUAUCUAAGUUACUAUUUAGGUGAAAAAGCCUACAGAAAGAAAAAAGACGAGAAGACCCUUAGAAUUUUACUUAAACUAAAUCUUAUAUUUGGAUAAGUUUAGUUGGGGCAACAAAGGAACAAGAUACUUAAUUUCCUAAAAUUUACAUAUCGAUAAUUAUAAAAUUGUAUAAAUUACCUUAGGGAUAACAGCAUAAUUUUAUCAAUAAGUUUGUGACCUCGAUGUUGGACUAGGAAACUAGGAGGCUAGCCGCCUUUUAGAAAAGUUCUGUUCGAACUACAAUUCCU
Molecule: ribosomal RNA, 442 nt
Filed under: Onchimira cavifera
Lineage: Eukaryota; Metazoa; Mollusca; Gastropoda; Nudibranchia; Onchidorididae
Description: partial 16S ribosomal RNA
Rfam family: Bacterial large subunit ribosomal RNA
Source: RNAcentral